Molecule: long non-coding RNA, 371 nt
Organism: Ictalurus punctatus (channel catfish)
Lineage: Eukaryota; Metazoa; Chordata; Actinopteri; Siluriformes; Ictaluridae
Source: Ensembl
CUGCUUCUCCCGUGUCAACAAAGUAUCGUACAAGCUCAGUGUGUGUGUGUGAGAGAGUGUGUGUGAGAGUGUGUGUGAGUGUGACACAAUGGAUACACGUUUCUACCUCAACUGGGAUUUAUAAGGAAGGAAGAAACAGGACUUUACUCUGUUUAUCGACCGAACGCUCAGGAGCGGACCAGGGCCUGAAUGAGGGCUUUGAGAACGCCAGCGAGAGCGUUUGACAGUUGCUCAGCCUAAUCCCUCUGGAGCUGAUAAGCAGUGGCUAAACAAACGUAGCGCGAGCAACACUGGAGUCGGAGAUAAGAGACACGCACAACGCCCCCUCCUUCCUCCAACAACCACCCCCCACCCCUCCCACACACACACAC